GGUUUGAUUGAUAGACUCUCGAUCUAUGUAACUGAAUAAUAUUGUACUUCUUAUUGAAUCAAAAGAGAGAUACAACUUUGAUUGUGAGAAGUAGUCAAGCUCUCAUAACGAACUAAGUACAAAUCACCAGUCUCAUAACGACUGUGAAGUAAAGACUCAUAACGUCUAAUACAUUCAAGAUCAAAGCAUAAUCAGCUCAGCUCAACUACCACUUCUAUUUAUACUUCUACUCUUCACUCAAUAACCGUAACUGCAAAGACUCCACUUCAAAUAGAAGUUUUCCCUUCCUUUCUUUAUUUUUAAUCUUCACUUCAACACUCCUUCUCUUCCACGUCUAACACUUCUUUGCCUCUCUUCUUUCGAUAAUAAACCUUCUUGAGUCUAUCAAUACUUCCCCCAACGAAAUCCAGUUUUCCCUCAAGCUGGUACGAAGGAAACACUGCUUGAACUCCUCAUAAGAGACCCACGAAUCCUCCAAAGCUGGUUUAUCGAGCCAAUGAACCAACAAUUCCAACUCUCCUUUGCUUCCAAAACGUUUAUCCAAAAUAAUCUCAGGUACCACUACCUCUUCUGCCUCCAUAAUACAGUUAGGAGGAAGCGUAUCACUCAAAUCUUGUUGCCCAACUGCCAACUUUAAUUGAGAAAUGUGAAAAAAGGAUGAAUACGAGCCGCUGGUGGUAGUAACAACUUAUAAGCCGUUGCACCAAUGCGUUCCACAACUCGAUAAGGGUCAUAGAACUUCGCAGCUAGCUUUUGACAGAAACGUCUGGCCAAUGUCUUCUGUCGAUAAGGUUGUAAUUUCAAACACCAUAUCUCCCACAUUUAACACCACAUCCCUUCUCUC
RNAcentral lists this long non-coding RNA (844 nucleotides) under Brassica napus (rape). RNAcentral describes it as "long non-coding RNA (BNAP_LNC010800)". The record is from RNAcentral. Lineage: Eukaryota; Viridiplantae; Streptophyta; Magnoliopsida; Brassicales; Brassicaceae.